UACCGUAGGGGGGCAAGCGUUUGGUCCGGAAAGUCAUUGGGCGUAAAGCGCGUGUGAGGCGGCCCGGUAAGUCCGCUUGUGAAAGUCCAGGGCUACAACCCUGGGAUGCCGGUGGAUACUGUCGGGCUCGAGUCCGGAAGAGGCGAGUGGAAUUCCUGGUGUAGCGGUGAAAUGCGCAGAUAUCAGGAGAACACCCGUGGCGAAGGCGGCUCGUCUGGAACGCAACUGACGCUGAGACGCGAAGCGUGGGGAGCAAACAGG
Molecule: ribosomal RNA, 261 nt
Filed under: uncultured bacterium
Lineage: Bacteria
Description: partial 16S ribosomal RNA
Rfam family: Bacterial small subunit ribosomal RNA (bases 32-261)
Source: RNAcentral